This 325-nucleotide long non-coding RNA is filed under the name Medicago truncatula (barrel medic). RNAcentral's name for it is "lncRNA gene27193". The record is from RNAcentral. Lineage: Eukaryota; Viridiplantae; Streptophyta; Magnoliopsida; Fabales; Fabaceae.
UUGUAGCUGCAGAAAAUCCUCUUUCUCUUUCGUCUUGUAUGUAAUUAGAUUAGAUAUGUAGUUUUAUUUAUUUAUUUAUUAUAUAGUUUAUAAAUUUUAAUAUUGCCUCUUGAGAUGCCAUUGAUUGAUAUUCAAUUGAUUAAUGGUUAAUCUCAUCAUCUAUGUUAAGUGGCAUAGAUUUUUUGCAGCCGUGUUGAGUCACUUCACCUUCGUUUUUCCACAGGUGCAGUGAAUAAACAGACUGUUAAAUCUUUCAAUUCCCAAAUUUUUGAUUUUGUAGUAGUAACAAUUUUAUGUUUGUGUUUGUUUGGGUAAAAAAUGUUGG